AGGAGAGAACGCAGGUAACUUGUUUUUCUUUGGUUUUUACCAUAUAUUGGGGCUGAUGUGUACUGUAGUCCUUGCUGCUGCCCAGUAGUGAUGGGAGUGAGCGUAGGACUUAUCUUUCUGCAAGAUAGCAGUACUGUAUAUUAGAAAAGAAAUGACUCACAGGUUGUACCUGAUAGACCUACUUAAAUCUUUUUACUUUAUUCUUUCUGUCGCAUAGAAGUAUAAGUUUAUUACUCUGUUUUAUUGUAAGUUAUUUCACAUGGGAUCUAUGUGCCUGGUAUGAUUGUUGCUUUAAAAAUACUAUAAGCCCACUACACUUAUUAUGAGAGUGGGAUAGUGUAAAUGUGUUGCAUUGUUUGCAUGAUGAGCUCAGUAUAUUUUAUAACUGAGACAAAAAGUCACUUCAUUAGUAUUUGAAAGUUAAUUCCCCAUAUGGGAUUAAUUGUAUAGAAACACCAAUCAGCACAUCUUCCCUGCCCUGUGUGUUUGUUGCAAAGGAUCCAUACUGUAAAUAUGAUUUUUGUUUGAAAAUAACAGAGCAACAUUUACAUUUUCAGCGGUCCAACACAUGCUUUAUUUUGCACUGUAAACUAACCUUUUUAUUGCAACAGAUUCCUUUUAAAUCAUCCAGUGUAAUAACUACUGCUUGUGUCUUCUAUGUCUCACAUUAUGUGUUAUUUUUUAAUUGUGGUAUAUAGCCUGAAUCAGACAUCAUGGACAAAGGUUUUUACCUGUGUUACUAAGGGCUCUUGGAGACUGACCGGUCUAAAGGUUUGCCAUGCCUUUAAAACAUGGUAUAGUAUAAAUUUUUAAGUCUCUGAGAGUUCUGAAAGAUUCAGG
Molecule: non-coding RNA, 840 nt
Organism: Pelobates cultripes (western spadefoot toad)
Lineage: Eukaryota; Metazoa; Chordata; Amphibia; Anura; Pelobatidae
Source: the annotation of a GenBank genome assembly